Molecule: transfer RNA, 71 nt
Filed under: Amia calva (bowfin)
Lineage: Eukaryota; Metazoa; Chordata; Actinopteri; Amiiformes; Amiidae
Description: tRNA-Pro
Rfam family: tRNA
About the family: Transfer RNA (tRNA) molecules are approximately 80 nucleotides in length. Their secondary structure includes four short double-helical elements and three loops (D, anti-codon, and T loops).
Source: RNAcentral
CAGAGGGUAGUUUAAUGAUAAAAUCUCAGCUUUGGGAGCCGAGGAUUGGAGUUUAAAUCUCCACUCUUUGA